UUGAUCCUGGCUCAGAAUCAACGCUGGCGGCGUGCCUAACACAUGCAAGUCGAACGCGAAAGUCCCGCAAGGGAUAAGUAGAGUGGCAAACGGGUGAGUUACACGUGGGUGACCUGCCUCCGAGUGGGGGAUAACGUCCCGAAAGGGACUCUAAUACCGCAUAACAUCCUGCCCUUGAACGGGUGGAGAUCAAAGCCGGUGAUCGCAAGACCUGGCGCUUGAAGAGGGGCCCGCGUCCGAUUAGCUAGUUGGUGAGGUAACGGCUCACCAAGGCGACGAUCGGUAUCCGGCCUGAGAGGUCGGACGGACACACUGGGACUGAGACACGGCCCAGACUCCUACGGGAGGCUGCAGUGGGGAAUUGUUCGCAAUGGGCGCAAGCCUGACGACGCAACGCCGUGUGGAGGAUGAAGACCUUCGGGUCGUAAACUCCUUUCGAUCGAGACGAAUGGCUUCCGGGUGAACAGUCCGGGAGAGUGACGGUACCGAGAGAAGAAGCUCCGGCUAACUCCGUGCCAGCAGCCGCGGUAAUAAGGU
This 537-nucleotide ribosomal RNA is filed under the name uncultured Acidobacteriota bacterium. RNAcentral describes it as "bacterial SSU rRNA". It matches the Rfam family "Bacterial small subunit ribosomal RNA", at positions 13 to 529 of the family's 1533-position model. Lineage: Bacteria; Pseudomonadati; Acidobacteriota. The record is from RNAcentral.